CCUACGGGAGGCAGCAGUAGGGAAUCUUCCGCAAUGGACGAAAGUCUGACGGAGCAACGCCGCGUGAGUGAAGAAGGUUUUCGGAUCGUAAAACUCUGUUGUCGGAGAAGAAUAAGUGGGAGAGUAACUGUUCCCACCUUGACAGUACCCGACCAGAAAGCCACGGCUAACUACGUGCCAGCAGCCGCGGUAAUA
RNAcentral lists this ribosomal RNA (195 nucleotides) under uncultured bacterium. Its description in RNAcentral is "partial 16S ribosomal RNA". It matches the Rfam family "Bacterial small subunit ribosomal RNA", at positions 338 to 525 of the family's 1533-position model. The record is from RNAcentral.